Molecule: ribosomal RNA, 285 nt
Filed under: uncultured bacterium
Lineage: Bacteria
Description: partial 16S ribosomal RNA
Rfam family: Bacterial small subunit ribosomal RNA
Source: RNAcentral
UGCCAGCAGCCGCGGUAAGACAGGAGGAGCGAGUGUUAUUCGAAUUAAUUGGGCGUAAAGGGCAUGUAGGUGGGGAGAUGUAGUUGUUUGUGAAAGUCCAAAGGGUUUCUUUGGGUGUGCAUUCAAGACGGUUUCUUCUCUUUGAGGGUGUAAGAGGAAAAUAGAAUUUCCAGAGGAGAGGUUAAAUUCUUAGAUUUUGGAAGGAAUACCUAAUGCGAAGGCAAUUUUCUGGUGCACUCCUUGACACUGAGGUGCGAAAGCGCGGGGAGCGAACAGGAUUAGAUA